AGUCAAUAGUCGGGGGGCCAUUGCAAUGGCUGAGAUCGAAAUUCGAGACCCGUUGAACCUGAUUCAGUUAACACUGACGUAGGGAACUAUCAACACUUUGCU
This 102-nucleotide non-coding RNA is filed under the name Vibrio sp. Its description in RNAcentral is "TPP sequence". It matches the Rfam family "TPP riboswitch aptamer (THI element)". From Rfam's summary of the family: Vitamin B(1) in its active form thiamin pyrophosphate (TPP) is an essential coenzyme that is synthesised by coupling of pyrimidine and thiazole moieties in bacteria. The previously detected thiamin-regulatory element, thi box was extended, resulting in a new, highly conserved RNA secondary structure, the THI element, which is widely distributed in eubacteria and also occurs in some archaea. Lineage: Bacteria; Pseudomonadati; Pseudomonadota; Gammaproteobacteria; Vibrionales; Vibrionaceae. The record is from RNAcentral.